Molecule: long non-coding RNA, 455 nt
Organism: Scylla paramamosain (green mud crab)
Lineage: Eukaryota; Metazoa; Arthropoda; Malacostraca; Decapoda; Portunidae
Exons: 2
Source: RefSeq, a predicted model, not a curated record
UGGCGGACGUGUUAACCUUGACUGGCCUUGCCAUGGUCCCCGCGAUUCCUGCUUCGUUACUUGACGGUGAAUGUGUCGGCGGUUCGCGUUCGUGAGAUGAAAAGCGAAGCAGCUGAGGAGACGGCGGGCUACCCACGGACGCGGCGAGAUGGGUGGCCGAUCAAUGUGGCGGGACGCUUCGUUUGCCGCCCACAUUCCAUUCGCCUUCCCCUGGGACCUGACGCCAAGCCUCUGGCCGCCCUGCCUAUCACCACGUGGCGGUGGGGUCACCCUUUGUCUUCCGGACGCCAGCCCCGGCUGCAACCUGAGCCGGCCCAGCAACCACCCCAGUCUGUGUCCGCCUUUCCUCGGUGGCGGACCCCUGACCUCGGUGGCGGACAUGUGACUUGCUGGCAGCUACCUUAUUAAAUUUUGUACAGUUUUAUUAUAUCAAUAUACGGUAGCUGAUUUUACAA